This 221-nucleotide unclassified non-coding RNA is filed under the name plant metagenome. Its description in RNAcentral is "partial contains small subunit ribosomal RNA, internal transcribed spacer 1, and 5.8S ribosomal RNA". The stretch from base 173 to 221 matches the Rfam family "5.8S ribosomal RNA", at positions 1 to 49 of the family's 154-position model. The record is from RNAcentral.
UCUCCGUUGGUGAACCAGCGGAGGGAUCAUUAUCGAGUUUAUAACUCCCAAACCCUAUGUGAACUUACCACUUGUUGCUUCGGCGCGCGCUUCGGCGCCGCCGAGGACACUUAAACUCUUUGUUUUUAUAAGCAUUUCUGAGUGGCCGAAAGGCAAAAUACAAAUGAAUCAAAACUUUCAACAACGGAUCUCUUGGUUCUGGCAUCGAUGAAGAACGCAAC